CAGCAGGUGGGAGUCCUGCCCCGGCAAAGGUCGUCCCGGCUGGGCAGCUUUCCCAGCAGCAACGAAGUGGCUGAAGCCCAGUAGACAGAAGGCGGCGUCCGGGCGUCAGCAAGUUGGCAGGCCGUAACACGC
This is a non-coding RNA of Phycisphaerae bacterium SM23_33, 132 nucleotides long. The record is from Rfam. Lineage: Bacteria; Pseudomonadati; Planctomycetota; Phycisphaerae.